UGGGGGAUGGUCUAAUGGCAAGACAGCGGACUCUGACUCCGCUUAUCUAGGUUCGAAUCCUAGUCCCCCAGCCA
Molecule: transfer RNA, 74 nt
Filed under: Deltaproteobacteria bacterium ADurb.Bin072
Lineage: Bacteria; Deltaproteobacteria
Also listed under: 2 other names
Description: tRNA-Gln
Rfam family: tRNA
About the family: Transfer RNA (tRNA) molecules are approximately 80 nucleotides in length.
Source: RNAcentral